This 200-nucleotide unclassified non-coding RNA is filed under the name soil metagenome. RNAcentral's name for it is "partial contains internal transcribed spacer 2 and large subunit ribosomal RNA". The record is from RNAcentral.
UGCCGGCGUCAUUGUCAGCUCCUUUUAAAUGUAUUAGCGGAACUAUGUAGGACCAGCUUCGGUUUGAUAAUACUUUAUCUAUGCUGUCGCUGAGAAACGUUUGUUCAGCUUCUAAUUGUCCCCUUAGUGGACUGUCUCCUUGCUGAGGCAUAACCUUGACUCUUGACCUCAAAUCAGGUAGGACUACCCGCUGAACUUAA